This 1115-nucleotide long non-coding RNA is filed under the name Homo sapiens (human). Its description in RNAcentral is "HSALNT0349425". Lineage: Eukaryota; Metazoa; Chordata; Mammalia; Primates; Hominidae. The record is from RNAcentral.
ACCUCACCAUACAUGCACACAGCUAGUGAUGCAUAAAGUCUUCAUUCCAAGACUGACAUUAAAAGGGUUGUGCAACUGCCUAGAUUCCAAUGUCACUAACGGUUUUCUGAGGGAGUUGGAAAGAGAUAAGAGAGAGACCUUGGGGAACAAUUUUAAAGUGGCUCAAUAGCGAUCGCAGAGCCAAACUCAUACCUACAUCAAUGUGGUGCAGAGAAUCUCUAAGAAUUUUUAAUGCUGAAUUGGAGCAAAGAAACUUCAAGGAGGAAGCAAAGUGAAGAACACAGAUUUCACAGAUGGGAUGCCUGGCUCAAAUUCCAGCUUGACCGCUGGUAGCUGUGUGACCCUCGGCAAGUUACUUGACCUCUCUCUACUCAGUGUCCUCAUCUGUCAGUGUAAUAUGAAUCAGAAAACAUGAACUCAGACUGAUGCUGGAAGCCACCUUAUGACUAUAAGCAGAAUCAGCCUCGUUAUGACGUUGAUGCUAUAAGCAACGGACUGAAAGAUACAAAGAGCAAGCAGACAGGAUGAAAUGCGUAAAUGGCGACAGUAGAGCCAGCCUUCAUGAAUCCAGAAAUGUGAGCCACAUUUUGAGGAUAGCAGAGUCACUGCAGAAGCCUGGAUCCUUGCAUAACCUUGUCGAGUGGGAAAAUCUACCCAUACUUGACCAACCACCUAACUGGGGGCUCUACAUCUGAGAGAAAUGAUUUUUUAUCUUAUUUAAGCCACUGUAGUUAGGAGUCAGUUUAUUACAGGACAUUGCCUGGUGUUCCAACAAAUAAACUACCUUAUUUGUUUCAAUAAAUAAAGUGGCUUUUAUUUACUAUUUUGGGGAUGGCUAAAAAAUUAUCAAACUAGGUAGAACUAAACUAAAGUUUCAGAUGAAAGAAGAUCUUCAUAAGCAACAUCACCAUCUUGUCACAGCAGCCAAAUGGUGGCAUGUCAUUUCUUCCAGGAAAGUAUAUAUACUCUGAAUGUAUCAUGUUUCAGCAUUGCUCUGUUAUAGGCUUGUAUAUCUAAUUUUGUCAUCACACAAGAUCUAUUGGGCUGGAUUAAAAUUAACCAAGAUCAUAAGACAAAUGUGUAAAAACAUUAAAUUUUUCAUUUACAAUGAGAAA